GCCGGCAUAGCUCAACUGGCAGAGCGCUCGCCUUGUAAGCGAGAUGUUGCGGGUUCGAUUCCUGCUGCCGGCUCCA
This 76-nucleotide transfer RNA is filed under the name Coriobacteriaceae bacterium. RNAcentral's name for it is "tRNA-Thr". It matches the Rfam family "tRNA". From Rfam's summary of the family: Transfer RNA (tRNA) molecules are approximately 80 nucleotides in length. Their secondary structure includes four short double-helical elements and three loops (D, anti-codon, and T loops). Lineage: Bacteria; Bacillati; Actinomycetota; Coriobacteriia; Coriobacteriales; Coriobacteriaceae. The record is from RNAcentral.